This 220-nucleotide long non-coding RNA is filed under the name Elaeis guineensis (African oil palm). RNAcentral's name for it is "long non-coding RNA (EGUI_LNC064166)". Lineage: Eukaryota; Viridiplantae; Streptophyta; Magnoliopsida; Arecales; Arecaceae. The record is from RNAcentral.
CUUGACCUAAUGUGAUUAGGUUUGAAUCAUCAAAUUAUUAGGUGGCUUAUCUAAUUUUUAUGGAAGUGUUCCAUAAGAAGUCAACUACCUCCAUGCCCAACCACACGUCAAAAUAAAUUGGCACCCCAUUUAUUUUAGCAUUAAAUAGGAAGAGUCCUUCUAGUUUACUUCUCUUAAUUUUUUUUAUUUUUCCAUGCAUUCUUUUAUUUCUUGCACCAUC